GACGAACGCUGGCGGCGUGCUUAACACAUGCAAGUCGAACGGAAAGGCCCUGCUUUUGUGGGGUGCUCGAGUGGCGAACGGGUGAGUAACACGUGAGUAACCUGCCCUUGACUUUGGGAUAACUUCAGGAAACUGGGGCUAAUACCGGAUAGGAGCUCCUGCUGCAUGGUGGGGGUUGGAAAGUUUCGGCGGUUGGGGAUGGACUCGCGGCUUAUCAGCUUGUUGGUGGGGUAGUGGCUUACCAAGGCUUUGACGGGCAGCCGGCCUGAGAGGGUGACCGGCCACAUUGGGACUGAGAUACAGCCCAGACUCCUACGGGAGGCAGCAGUGGGGAAUAUUGCACAAUGGGCGGAAGCCUGAUGCAGCAACGCCGCGUGCGGGAUGACGGCCUUCGGGUUGUAAACCGCUUUCGCCUGUGACGAAGCGUGAGUGACGGUAAUGGGUAAAGAAGCACCGGCUAACUACGUG
This 468-nucleotide ribosomal RNA is filed under the name uncultured bacterium. RNAcentral describes it as "partial 16S ribosomal RNA". It matches the Rfam family "Bacterial small subunit ribosomal RNA", at positions 28 to 507 of the family's 1533-position model. The record is from RNAcentral.